RNAcentral lists this ribosomal RNA (440 nucleotides) under uncultured bacterium. RNAcentral's name for it is "bacterial SSU rRNA". It matches the Rfam family "Bacterial small subunit ribosomal RNA", at positions 958 to 1398 of the family's 1533-position model. The record is from RNAcentral.
AACGCGAAGAACCUUACCUACCCUUGACAUCUGUGGAAUUUAGCGGAGACGCUAGAGUGCCGAAAGGAACCACAAGACAGGUGCUGCAUGGCUGUCGUCAGCUCGUGUCGUGAGAUGUUGGGUUAAGUCCCGCAACGAGCGCAACCCUUGUCCUGUGUUGCCAUACCGAAAGGUGGAACUCGCAGGAGACCGCCAGGGAUAACCUGGAGGAAGGUGGGGAUGACGUCAAGUCCUCAUGGCCUUUAUGUCCAGGGCUACACACGUGCUACAAUGGACGGUACAAAGGGCUGCCAACCCGCGAGGGGGAGCCAAUCCCAAAAAACCGUUCUCAGUUCGGAUUGCAGGCUGCAACUCGCCUGCAUGAAGCUGGAAUCGCUAGUAAUGGCGGAUCAGAACGCCGCCGUGAAUACGUUCCCGGGCCUUGUACACACCGAGACGAC